This 646-nucleotide ribosomal RNA is filed under the name uncultured bacterium. Its description in RNAcentral is "bacterial SSU rRNA". The stretch from base 1 to 544 matches the Rfam family "Bacterial small subunit ribosomal RNA", at positions 338 to 873 of the family's 1533-position model. The record is from RNAcentral.
CCUACGGGAGGCAGCAGUAAGGAAUAUUGGUCAAUGGAGGCAACUCUGAACCAGCCAUGCCGCGUGCAGGAAGAAGGCCCUAUGGGUCGUAAACUGCUUUUGUACCAGAGAAAACCCGAGUACGUGUACUCGGUUGAUAGUAUGGUAAGAAUAAGCAUCGGCUAACUUCGUGCCAGCAGCCGCGGUAAGACGAAGGAUGCAAGCGUUAUCCGGAUUCAUUGGGUUUAAAGGGUGCGUAGGCGGACUGAUAAGUCAGUGGUGAAAUCUCUCGGCUUAACCGAGAAACUGCCAUUGAUACUGUUAGUCUAGAGUAUAGAUGACGUUGGCGGAAUAUGACAUGUAGUGGUGAAAUACUUAGAUAUGUCAUAGAACACCGAUUGCGAAGGCAGCUAACGAAACUAUAACUGACGCUGAGGCACGAAAGUGCGGGGAUCAAACAGGAUUAGAUACCCUGGUAGUCCGCACCGUAAACGAUGAUUACUCGUUGUUGGCAAAUUAUGACCGUCAGCGACCGAACGACGAACGACGAGUAAGUAAUACCACCGUACGGGUAGGUACGGCCGGCCGACCGGUACGUAACGUUAAACGGUAAAGUUAGUACGGACGUGAGACGUACGACCGACGGACGACGACGAGGGAGGAGGAG